GAUGAACGCUGGCGGCGUACCUAAUACAUGCAAGUCGAGCGAACAGACGAGGAGCUUGCUCCUCUGACGUUAGCGGCGGACGGGUGAGUAACACGUGGAUAACCUACCUAUAAGACUGGGAUAACUUCGGGAAACCGGAGCUAAUACCGGAUAAUAUAUUGAACCGCAUGGUUCAAUAGUGAAAGACGGUUUUGCUGUCGCUUAUAGAUGGAUCCGCGCCGCAUUAGCUAGUUGGUAAGGUAACGGCUUACCAAGGCAACGAUGCGUAGCCGACCUGAGAGGGUGAUCGGCCACACUGGAACUGAGACACGGUCCAGACUCCUACGGGAGGCAGCAGUAGGGAAUCUUCCGCAAUGGGCGAAAGCCUGACGGAGCAACGCCGCGUGAGUGAUGAAGGUCUUCGGAUCGUAAAACUCUGUUAUUAGGGAAGAACAAAUGUGUAAGUAACUAUGCACGUCUUGACGGUACCUAAUCAGAAAGCCACGGCUAACUACGUG
RNAcentral lists this ribosomal RNA (497 nucleotides) under uncultured bacterium. RNAcentral describes it as "partial 16S ribosomal RNA". It matches the Rfam family "Bacterial small subunit ribosomal RNA", at positions 28 to 507 of the family's 1533-position model. The record is from RNAcentral.